GAUAUCUAGGCACACGCGUAGUAGAACAACACCACACAGAUAUACAAACAGAAACCAAUGUGCCUAGGCUAUCAACAAGUACACGACGAUAAAGAAAAAGCAACGUUAUUCGAUAUUACCAUUGCAUAAGAAUUAUAAGAUAUGUAUGCAUAUAAAAAGGCCAAAAUGUCUACACCAAACGAUGAAGAAGAAUGGGAAUUGGAAUAUUUUGAAAAGCUGAAGAAUUUUCGAGCACAAUGUAAAUUGUGUCCAUGUUCUAAUCGAACCAUUUAUAUGUACCGCGAUAUGACGAAGGUGAAUAAUCAUUUCAGAGUUCACCGCCACCCAAAUGUAGACAUGAAUAGAAUUCGUCAUCCGAAAUGGCAUUAUUUCAGAGAAACUGACGAUUCGCGCAUGCAAUGUAAUUAUUGUAAUAAGAGUUAUGUGAUCAACAGUUCAUGGACACUAUUGAAUGCACAUUUAAAUAAGGAACAUGGCAUACAUGCAAAUGUAGAAAAACGUUUUCAAUCGAGUUUUAUAUGGAAUUAUAUUAUAGAGCUUGAUAAAGAUACUGUGAUGUGUACUGAAUGUUUUGCUAUGAUUAAAGUUGCUCGUCUGUAUGCUUUACGUAUUCACAUAUUUAAAAAACAUUUAGAUGUGUUGGAAGAAAAUCGAAAUCCACAAGGAGAAACCAAUAUGCCUGUGCCAUCAACAAGUGCACAACGUUAAAAAAAAAGAACGAUUUAUCCCAUCCAGAUUUGCCAAAGGUUUUAUAUUCAAAGUUCAAAAUUUUAUAUUCAAAUAUCACAACCAGCAUCAAUCUUGACUAUGACGAUUUAAAUGAUUUGAGAUAUCUGGAGAAACUGCCAUAUCUAUGAUGUGUAAUUUACAAA
This is a non-coding RNA of Linepithema humile (Argentine ant), 872 nucleotides long. The record is from RefSeq and is a predicted model, not a curated record. NCBI's taxonomy places the organism in Eukaryota, Metazoa, Arthropoda, Insecta, Hymenoptera, Formicidae.